UUGCCUCAGUAACGGCGAGUGAAGCGGCAACAGCUCAAAUUUUAAAGCUGGCGUCUUCGACGCCCGCGUUGUAAUUUGGAGAGGCAUCUUCGGUUUGGGCGCCAGCCUAUGUUCCUUGGAACAGGACGUCACAGAGGGUGAGAAUCCCGUGCUUGGCUGGCUGUCCCUUGCCAUGUGAAGUGCCUUCGACGAGUCGAGUUGUUUGGGAAUGCAGCUCAAAAUGGGUGGUAAAUUCCAUCUAAAGCUAAAUAUUGGCGGGAGACCGAUAGCGCACAAGUAGAGUGAUCGAAAGAUGAAAAGCACUUUGAAAAUAGAGUUAAAAAGUACGUGAAAUUGUUGAAAGGGAAGCGCUUGAGACCAGACUCGGCCGGAGAUGAUCAGCCGUCCUUCUGGGCGGUGCACUUGUCUCCGGUCGGGCCAGCAUCGGUUGAGACGGCGGGAUAAAGGCCCGGGGAAUGUGGCUCCUUUCGGGGAGUGUUAUAGCCCCGGACGCAAUGCCGCCAGCCUCGACCGAGGACCGCGCUUUUUGCUAGGAUGCUGGCGUAAUGGUCUUCAGCGACCCGUCUUGAAACACGGACCAAGGAGUCUAACAUCUAUGCGAGUGUUUGGGUGUCAAACCCUUGCGCGUAAUGAAAGUGAACGGAGGUGGGAACCCCCU
This 658-nucleotide ribosomal RNA is filed under the name Paragyromitra infula. Its description in RNAcentral is "Gyromitra infula partial 28S ribosomal RNA". It matches the Rfam family "Eukaryotic large subunit ribosomal RNA", at positions 75 to 747 of the family's 3401-position model. Lineage: Eukaryota; Fungi; Ascomycota; Pezizomycetes; Pezizales; Discinaceae. The record is from RNAcentral.